Molecule: ribosomal RNA, 488 nt
Filed under: uncultured bacterium
Lineage: Bacteria
Description: bacterial SSU rRNA
Rfam family: Bacterial small subunit ribosomal RNA
Source: RNAcentral
GACGAACGCUGGCGGCGUGCUUAACACAUGCAAGUCGAACGAUGAAGCCCAGCUUGCUGGGUGGAUUAGUGGCGAACGGGUGAGUAACACGUGAGUAACCUGCCCUGGACUCUGGGAUAACCCCGAGAAAUCGGAGCUAAUACCGGAUAGGACCUUUCCUCGCAUGAGGUUUGGUGGAAAGUUUUUCGGUUUGGGAUGGACUCGCGGCCUAUCAGCUUGUUGGUGAGGUAAUGGCUCACCAAGGCGUCGACGGGUAGCCGGCCUGAGAGGGUGACCGGCCACACUGGGACUGAGACACGGCCCAGACUCCUACGGGAGGCAGCAGUGGGGAAUAUUGCACAAUGGGCGCAAGCCUGAUGCAGCAACGCCGCGUGCGGGAUGACGGCCUUCGGGUUGUAAACCGCUUUUAGUAGGGAAGAAGGGCUUCGGCUUGACGGUACCUGCAGAAAAAGGACCGGCUAACUACGUGCCAGCCGCCGCCGUAAAAC